This 72-nucleotide transfer RNA is filed under the name Bos taurus (domestic cattle). It matches the Rfam family "tRNA". Rfam says of the family: Transfer RNA (tRNA) molecules are approximately 80 nucleotides in length. Their secondary structure includes four short double-helical elements and three loops (D, anti-codon, and T loops). Further hydrogen bonds mediate the characteristic L-shaped molecular structure. tRNAs have two regions of fundamental functional importance: the anti-codon, which is responsible for specific mRNA codon recognition, and the 3' end, to which the tRNAs corresponding amino acid is attached (by aminoacyl-tRNA synthetases). tRNAs cope with the degeneracy of the genetic code in two manners: having more than one tRNA (with a specific anti-codon) for a particular amino acid; and 'wobble' base-pairing, i.e. permitting non-standard base-pairing at the 3rd anti-codon position. Lineage: Eukaryota; Metazoa; Chordata; Mammalia; Artiodactyla; Bovidae. The record is from Rfam by way of RNAcentral. RNAcentral also lists the same sequence under 5 other names.
UUGCUGAUAGCUCAGUUGGUAAAGAAUCUGCCUGCAAUGCAGGAGGCCCUGGUUCAAUUCCUGGGUUGGAAA